AGCAGCAUCGCGGUGGCGGAGCGUCGUUUGCGACGCCCAACACACAAAACAAGCGGUGAGUGCUUUGGGGUGGGGUGACUGCGUACCUUUUGUAUAAUGGGUCAGCGACUUAUAUUCUGUAGCAAGGUUAACCGUAUAGGGGAGCCGUAGGGAAACCGAGUCUUAACCGGGCGUUAAGUUGCAGGGUAUAGACCCGAAACCCGGUGAUCUAGCCAUGGGCAGGUUGAAGGUUGGGUAACACUAACUGGAGGACCGAACCGACUAAUGUUGAAAAAUUAGCGGAUGACCUGUGGCUGGGGGUGAAAGGCCAAUCAAACCGGGAGAUAGCUGGUUCUCCCCGAAAGCUAUUUAGGUAGCGCCUCGUGAAUUCAUCUCCGGGGGUAGAGCACUGUUUCGGCUAGGGGGCCAUCCCGGCUUACCAACCCGAUGCAAACUGCGAAUACCGGAGAAUGUUAUCACGGGAGACACACGGCGGGUGCUAACGUCCGUCGUGAAGAGGGAAACAACCCAGACCGCCAGCUAAGGUCCCAAAGUCAUGGUUAAGUGGGAAACGAUGUGGGAAGGCCCAGACAGCCAGGAUGUUGGCUUAGAAGCAGCCAUCAUUUAAAGAAAGCGUAAUAGCUCACUGGUCGAGUCGGCCUGCGCGGAAGAUGUAACGGGGCUAAACCAU
This 670-nucleotide ribosomal RNA is filed under the name Salmonella enterica subsp. enterica serovar Anatum. RNAcentral's name for it is "partial 23S ribosomal RNA". It matches the Rfam family "Bacterial large subunit ribosomal RNA", at positions 566 to 1190 of the family's 2925-position model. The record is from RNAcentral. Lineage: Bacteria; Pseudomonadati; Pseudomonadota; Gammaproteobacteria; Enterobacterales; Enterobacteriaceae.